This 492-nucleotide ribosomal RNA is filed under the name uncultured bacterium. RNAcentral describes it as "partial 16S ribosomal RNA". It matches the Rfam family "Bacterial small subunit ribosomal RNA", at positions 28 to 507 of the family's 1533-position model. The record is from RNAcentral.
GUUGAACGCUGGCGGCAUGCUUUACACAUGCAAGUCGAACGGUAACAGGCCUUCGGGUGCUGACGAGUGGCGAACGGGUGAGUAAUGCAUCGGAACGUACCCAGAGGUGGGGGAUAACGCAGCGAAAGCUGUGCUAAUACCGCAUGUGAUCUGAGGAUGAAAGCGGGGGACCGAGCAGCAAUGUUUGGCCUCGCGCCUUUGGAGCGGCCGAUGUCGGAUUAGCUAGUUGGUGGGGUAAAGGCCUACCAAGGCGACGAUCCGUAGCUGGUCUGAGAGGACGACCAGCCACACUGGAACGGAGACACGGCCCAGACUCCUACGGGAGGAAGCAGUGGGGAAUUUUGGACAAUGGGCGCAAGCCUGAUCCAGCAAUGCCGCGUGCGGGAAGAAGGCCUUCGGGUUGUAAACCGCUUUUGGCAGGAACGAAACGGUGUCCGCUAAUACCGGGCGCUAAUGACGGUACCUGCAGAAUAAGCACCGGCUAACUACGUG